RNAcentral lists this ribosomal RNA (260 nucleotides) under uncultured Clostridium sp. Its description in RNAcentral is "partial 16S ribosomal RNA". It matches the Rfam family "Bacterial small subunit ribosomal RNA", at positions 233 to 510 of the family's 1533-position model. The record is from RNAcentral. Lineage: Bacteria; Bacillati; Bacillota; Clostridia; Eubacteriales; Clostridiaceae.
GCGGCGCAUUAGCUAGUUGGUGAGGUAACGGCUCACCAAGGCGACGAUGCGUAGCCGACCUGAGAGGGUGAUCGGCCACAUUGGGACUGAGACACGGCCCAGACUCCUACGGGAGGCAGCAGUGGGGAAUAUUGCACAAUGGGGGAAACCCUGAUGCAGCAACGCCGCGUGAGUGAUGAAGGCCUUCGGGUUGUAAAGCUCUGUCUUCAGGGACGAUAAUGACGGCACCUGAGGAGGAAGCCACGGCUAACUACGUGCCA